RNAcentral lists this small RNA (78 nucleotides) under Xanthomonas arboricola pv. guizotiae. RNAcentral describes it as "sX9 sRNA". It matches the Rfam family "Xanthomonas sRNA sX9". Lineage: Bacteria; Pseudomonadati; Pseudomonadota; Gammaproteobacteria; Lysobacterales; Lysobacteraceae. The record is from RNAcentral.
AUGUGCCACUCGUACACUCAGGUUUUGAGCGCGCCGUCCACACGCCCCGAACGAUUGCUCGCUACGUUUUUGUCAGCC